Molecule: non-coding RNA, 2071 nt
Organism: Ciona intestinalis (vase tunicate)
Lineage: Eukaryota; Metazoa; Chordata; Ascidiacea; Phlebobranchia; Cionidae
Source: RefSeq, a predicted model, not a curated record
CUUUAUCUUGGCGUCGCAACUUGGGUUGGGGGAUAUUUUCAUGUAUGGUUGGCAAUUUGGACAACCCAUUACAGCCCAAUAAUGUGAAGCAAUUGCCGUUAAACGUCUUACCGCAGGCGACAUACUCCCGCGAGCUUUGCGAAUUUUGACUCUGUACGCCAAUGCGGAACCAUUGGGUUACAUUUCUCGGCUGCAACAUUUUAUUACCCCGGCAACAAAGUAUGGACAGUUCACGCAUAUUUACUGGUUUGGUAGUAAUGUCGCCUGGCUAAGUCGCUCCCUGUUUGAAUAAAAAGUGGCCACCGCGAAUGUCAUGUAUCUGUUCGCGUGGUGGCAGUAGAUGCAACGCAUAAAUUGUAUUGAGACUUUCGUAGAGUGCUGCUGUGGUGUCGCGACAAUGGCCAGCACAUGCGACGAGGAAAAGAUCUCCAAUGCAGAACAAAAGAAGAAAAUGCACACCUGCAGUGCUUGUUCAAAACAAUACAAGAAGCAAAGACAUUUACGACUUCAUUUUGCUAGAAAACACACAAAUAAAGAUGACUGGAGCCAUAAAUGCACUGAGUGUGGUAAAGUUUUCGCAGAUCAGGAAAUUUUGCAGCGUCACAAGCUGUCACAUGAUAAGACAUACAAAGCAGUUUGCCAAAUUGGUGAUUGUAGGAAAGAGUACAAGAGCACAUCUGCACUAAGCAAGCAUCGCCAACAGGCCCAUGGCAUCAACAAACCUCCAAAAGAAAAUAGAAAAAAGUAUUGUUGCGAGGUUUCUGACUGUGAUGCAAAUUUUUCCAAGCACCAUCUUUUAAAACAGCAUUCCUAUCAGCACACUGCUGUCCCACCUUUUCCAUGCAGCAAGUGUGACAAGCGGUUUCUUACAUUAUCACAUAAAGUGAGGCAUGAAAAGAUACACAAUGGAUAUUCAUGUAAGAUGUGUUCAAUAAACUGCAGUACUUGGUCCUUACUUCGAAGACAUAUUGCUACAGAACACAAAGAGGUCAACAAGUGUGACGAAUGUGGGUUAAGUUUUAAACAGCCAUCACAACUAAAGCAGCACCUGCAAGUCCACAGUGAAAAGCGGCAAGUUUUUAAAUGCACAAAGUGUGAGAAAACAUAUGUAAACAAAUACAAUUUUAAAAUGCAUUUUAAGAUAGUGCAUCUCAAUGAAAAGAAGUUCCAAUGUACCCAUACUGGUUGUAACAAAAUAUUUGCCUAUAAAAAGAGUUUGAAAACCCAUGAACUAAUUCAUCAAGAAGACUACGUUCCAUUGCCAAAGAAAACAAGAUGUGACAAAUUAAGUUGCUUAUCUAGAAUCACUGGUUUCAAUCAUGAAAAAGCUUUGUUACCUGAAGUUGCUUAACUGAUCAUAAAAUUUGCUUAUUGCUUAAUGUUGGCUGUUAGCUACCUGUUCCUUUCAUGCAAUACCUUGUUUGUUUUUUUCUUUUCAACUAUGGUGCACAUGCAUAUAUUCGUAAGUGGCAAGAUUUAGUUCAAUUGCAGCAAUGUUCUAUAUGUGUCAUUCUCCCAACAGAUUUAAUAGUUAUCUUGUUGGAUAAGGUUGCUAACUGUACUGUUGCAUAAAUAAGAAACCCUACUGCCACAUUCAUUAUGACAACUGCUCACCGAGCCACCUUCGCACCUGCUAAAGCCGGUGCUUCAAGAGGUGAAAGUGAUUUAGGGAAAUUAUCAAAACAAUAUUCAAGUCGGGAUCUACCAAGUCACAAAACACUUAAGUACAGACAACCUGGCCAGAAUGCUCCAGAAGACAUCAGAGGAAGAGAUCUUCGUCAUGAGUUAGCUGAGAGGGAGCAUUCAUCAAGAUCAGAUAAGAGGUCUGAUAGCAGGUCAUCACGAGACUCCAAACGACAAAGAUUAGAUCAUGUUCCCGCAUCCAAUUUAGAUGCCGAUGAUGCUGCGCGCAGUGUAUGUGGGACAGAUUUUAUAUAUUUAAGUUGCUAUGUAAUGUAUUGUAGGAUUGUUGCAGCUUAUGCUUAAAAGUUUCAUAAUUUUAGGACAGCGACUCAGAUUCUGAUGACUCCGAAGAUGACACAGCAGAAUUAAUGGCUGAGCUUAACCGAAU